Notolabrus celidotus (New Zealand spotty) is the source of this 986-nucleotide long non-coding RNA. RefSeq lists it as uncharacterized. The record is from RefSeq and is a predicted model, not a curated record. Lineage: Eukaryota; Metazoa; Chordata; Actinopteri; Labriformes; Labridae. The transcript is spliced from 4 exons.
CCUAAUAUUGACUGUACAGGAACGUAGAGACCUCGUUGGAUGGAGUGCAUUAUCAGUGUAAGUCGAGAUGCAGAGAUGAUGGCCAACGUGAGGUCACCAUUCAGUUGAUAGAUUAUCUUCUAAAGCUUUGGGUUUAGUAUCUUCCUUUGAAACCAACAGUGAUUGAUUAUUUAAUGGCAGAGUGUGUGAGCACUGGUUAACUCUCUCCUCUUAGUCACAGGUGGCCUUGGUUCAUAGAUUUUCUUGCUCUUUGGUCUAUUUGACUCUAAAAGAAAACAGACAUUACUAAAGAGCAUCAUGCUGUGUUGAAGAAGACAAAUCUUAGGUUAAGAACAUAAACUCAUGAAGAAAUGUAAAGUGAGGUGAUACAUGCUGUAACGGUCAGAGAGAUUACAAGUUUGACUUUCUCCUGUUUGUUUGCAGAUAAAGAAUUGUGUCAGGAACCUUUCAGUCAAACAGCACACAGAACAGCUGAAACCAACAUCACAUGUGAAUACCCAAACCAUGAAGACGACUCGGAUGUCAAGUUCUUCUGCAAAGAGAUCGGUCCUUUCUGUGAGGAUAUUUUAUCUACAGGAUCCUCCGUGAGGUCAAACGAGACGUUCACUCUCACAGAGACCGACAGAGGGUUCAGCGUGUCCAUCAGUAACGUGUCCUCACAGCAUAAAGGCGUCUACUGGUGCGGACUGAAAUCUGACAGAGGAGAUUAUCGAGCUGGAGUCAGAAAAAUCAAUCUGAUUGUGGAAAAUGUCUCUCAGUCACCAGUAAUCAUUCCUGUGGUCGUCUGUGCAGCCGCGGUGUUGCUCUUGCUUCUUUUGGUUCUCUUCUACAAAUGGUUUGGGCGUUCAAAACAAACAACUAAUGAGGAAGCAGAAAACCCCAAAGAGGAUCGAGCCUACGAUGAGAUCCAGGAGCGCCCCCAGAAUCCAGACCCAGGAAGUGCUCUUCGUACCGUCUAUGCCACUGCCAACCUUCCCACAAUCCCC